GAUUGCCCUAGUAACGGCGAGUGAAGCGGCAACAGCUCAAAUUUGAAAUCUGGCGUCUUUGGCGUCCGAGUUGUAAUUUGCAGAGGGCGCUUUGGCAUUGGCAGCGGUCCAAGUUCCUUGGAACAGGACGUCACAGAGGGUGAGAAUCCCGUACGUGGUCGCUAGCCUUUACCGUGUAAAGCCCCUUCGACGAGUCGAGUUGUUUGGGAAUGCAGCUCUAAAUGGGAGGUAAAUUUCUUCUAAAGCUAAAUACUGGCCAGAGACCGAUAGCGCACAAGUAGAGUGAUCGAAAGAUGAAAAGCACUUUGGAAAGAGAGUUAAAAAGCACGUGAAAUUGUUGAAAGGGAAGCGCUUGCAGCCAGACUUGCCUGUAGUUGCUCAUCCGGGUUUUUACCCGGUGCACUCUUCUAUAGGCAGGCCAGCAUCAGUUUGGGCGGUUGGAUAAAGGUCUCUGUCAUGUAACUCUCUUCGGGGAGAACUUAUAGGGGAGACGACAUGCAACCAGCCUGGACUGAGGUCCGCGCAUCUGCUAGGAUGCUGGCGUAAUGGCUGUAAGCGGCCCGUCUUGAAACACGGACCAAGGAGUCUAACAUCUAUGCGAGUGUUUGGGUGUCAAGCCCGAGCGCGUAAUGAAAGUGAACGGAGGUGGGAACCUUUCGGGGUGCACCAUCGACCGAUCCUGAUGUCUUCGGAUGGAUUUGAGUAAGAGCAUAGCUGUUGGGACCCGAAAGAUGGUGAACUAUGCUUGAAUAGGGUGAAGCCAGAGGAAACUCUGGUGGAGGCUCGCAGCGGUUCUGACGUGCAAAUCGAUCGUC
This 815-nucleotide ribosomal RNA is filed under the name Neomicrosphaeropsis tamaricicola. Its description in RNAcentral is "partial large subunit ribosomal RNA". It matches the Rfam family "Eukaryotic large subunit ribosomal RNA", at positions 73 to 906 of the family's 3401-position model. The record is from RNAcentral. Lineage: Eukaryota; Fungi; Ascomycota; Dothideomycetes; Pleosporales; Didymellaceae.